ACCCCAGGGGCCUCACAGCAUUGUUUAACCCUGAGCUCGGCUGGGUUUCACCCAGGUGCCUAGACCAGCCUCCUGUCCAGUCUUGCUUUCCUGGAGGGUGGGGCCAACCCUUUUGAGAAGCCACAAGCCUAUUUGUACCCACAGGGUCCCAGGACCCAUCUGGGCACCCAGAAUGACUCAGACCAGACCCUGGGGGUUCCCAAUCUGGGGAAGAGUCCCUGUUGCAGACCUGAACACUCAAAUUUGUGUAUGGGGAGGGAAAGGGGCAUGAAGGUGCAGGGGAGGUGGGUGGUGACCACAGGCCCUCUGCUGUAGGGCUGUUCAGGGACUGUGCUGGCUGAUGGAGCCUGACUCCCCUCCCCCAGCGUGGCCUGCCACGACCAUGGCCUCACCCAGGACCCCCAGCUCAUGGCCUACAGGCCAGGUCAGCAGGAGAUGCUGGCACUGGCCCUGUGGGAGGGGGACACUCUGCCCAUCCCCCCAUCCUGGGGAGGGGCGCAGGGUCCCUGCUGUGCGGGUCCGGGGACCAGGGCCCCCACUCCUCUCCUCUGAAGCCCCAGGCGCGGCGGCACUGCCCGGCUGACAAUCGGUGAUCG
Molecule: long non-coding RNA, 596 nt
Filed under: Homo sapiens (human)
Lineage: Eukaryota; Metazoa; Chordata; Mammalia; Primates; Hominidae
Description: HSALNT0275309
Source: RNAcentral